This 542-nucleotide ribosomal RNA is filed under the name uncultured bacterium. Its description in RNAcentral is "bacterial SSU rRNA". It matches the Rfam family "Bacterial small subunit ribosomal RNA", at positions 98 to 633 of the family's 1533-position model. The record is from RNAcentral.
GCGCACGGGUGAGUAACGCGUAGGCAAUCUGCCCAUAGCAGGGGGAUAACAUCGGGAAACCGGUGCUAAUACCGCAUAAUGCAGCGGGGUCGCAUGACCACAGUUGUUAAGGGUCUUCGGACCGGCUAUGGAUGAGCCUGCGUGCCAUUAGUUAGUUGGUAGGGUAAUGGCCUACCAAGGCGAUGAUGGCUAGGGGGUCUGAGAGGAUGAUCCCCCACACUGGAACUGAGACACGGUCCAGACUCCUACGGGAGGCAGCAGUGAGGAAUCUUGCGCAAUGGAGGAAUCUCUGACGCAGCCACGCCGCGUGCCGGAAGACGGCCCUAUGGGUUGUAAACGGCUUUUGAUUGGGAAGAACUGUUCCGUUUCGACGGGACUUGACGGUACCAUUUGAAUAAGCACCGGCUAACUCCGUGCCAGCAGCCGCGGUAAUACGGAGGGUGCAAGCGUUGUCCGGAAUCAUUGGGUGUAAAGGGUGCGUAGGCUGGCAUCUAAGUCUGGGGUGAAAUCUUGCCGCUUAACGGUAAAAUUGCCCUGGAUAC